Molecule: transfer RNA, 75 nt
Filed under: bacterium DOLZORAL124_38_8
Lineage: Bacteria
Description: tRNA-Arg
Rfam family: tRNA
About the family: Transfer RNA (tRNA) molecules are approximately 80 nucleotides in length. Their secondary structure includes four short double-helical elements and three loops (D, anti-codon, and T loops). Further hydrogen bonds mediate the characteristic L-shaped molecular structure. tRNAs have two regions of fundamental functional importance: the anti-codon, which is responsible for specific mRNA codon recognition, and the 3' end, to which the tRNAs corresponding amino acid is attached (by aminoacyl-tRNA synthetases). tRNAs cope with the degeneracy of the genetic code in two manners: having more than one tRNA (with a specific anti-codon) for a particular amino acid; and 'wobble' base-pairing, i.e. permitting non-standard base-pairing at the 3rd anti-codon position.
Source: RNAcentral
GUCCCCGUGGUUCAAUGGAUAGAAUAGGACCCUUCUAAGGUCAAGAUCCAAGUUCGAUUCUUGGCGGGGAUACCA